GUAUUAUUUUUAUUUUUUUAACAGUUUACAAAACACUCUAUAAUAUCCUAAACGUACUUAAUAUUCUAUAACCCCUAAUAUAUUCUCUUAUAUGAAAAACAAAAAAACAUUUCCCUGUGACCUCUGUGUUGAACGAAUCGUCCACAGUUUUUAAUCUCAUAAGACUGCAUACUCUCAGUUAAAAUAUGCAAAAACAUAAAAAUCCGGACUCUAGUUAUCACAAUAGUAAUUUCGUGUUCGGGAUCUAAUUUACGAAAAUCAACGGCCUUUGACGGCCGUAAUCUAAAACGCUUGAAAAGUUUUCGGUAUACGCGUGCAAUAAUUUCAGAUAUUCGGCGACGACUGCAUACAUAUACUGCUGUUUUUUAUUUUUAUUAUUUUCUUUCCCGACCUCGGAAAACACUUUUCGUCGUCGUGGUAAAAUUACUCGAGGGAAAGUUCCAGCAACUUUAUCAUAUAUACGCCCGGAUAAGACGUAUGUUAUAUUCGAAAACGAGGCGCGCACCAGUAUAAACAGGUCUUACCGAAACUACAAUACGACCUAUUUAAGUGAAUAUACUCCAAAUUUCUAUUAGUAUUGGCUUU
This is a non-coding RNA of Cinara cedri, 585 nucleotides long. NCBI's taxonomy places the organism in Eukaryota, Metazoa, Arthropoda, Insecta, Hemiptera, Aphididae. The record is from the annotation of a GenBank genome assembly.